This 427-nucleotide ribosomal RNA is filed under the name uncultured bacterium. RNAcentral describes it as "bacterial SSU rRNA". It matches the Rfam family "Bacterial small subunit ribosomal RNA", at positions 355 to 774 of the family's 1533-position model. The record is from RNAcentral.
UGGGGAAUUUUGGACAAUGGGCGAAAGCCUGAUCCAGCAAUGCCGCGUGAGUGAAGAAGGCCUUCGGGUUGUAAACCGCUUUUGUCAGGGAAGAAACGAGUUUCUCUAAUACAGAGACUUAAUGACGGUACCUGAAGAAUAAGCACCGGCUAACUACGUGCCAGCAGCCGCGGUAAUACGUAGGGUGCAAGCGUUAAUCGGAAUUACUGGGCGUAAAGCGUGCGCAGGCGGUUAUGCAAGACAGAUGUGAAAUCCCCGGGCUCAACCUGGGAACUGCAUUUGUGACUGCAUAGCUGGAGUGCGGCAGAGGGGGAUGGAAUUCCGCGUGUAGCAGUGAAAUGCGUAGAUAUGCGGAGGAACACCGAUGGCGAAGGCAAUCCCCUGGGCCUGCACUGACGCUCAUGCACGAAAGCGUGGGGAGCAAACA